This 762-nucleotide ribosomal RNA is filed under the name Triticum aestivum (bread wheat). RNAcentral's name for it is "partial small subunit ribosomal RNA". Lineage: Eukaryota; Viridiplantae; Streptophyta; Magnoliopsida; Poales; Poaceae. The record is from RNAcentral.
AUGGCCAGUUACCAACAAGAUUCCAACACACAGCAGUUGAUCACCAGGUUGGCGCUGGAUCCAAGCAGCGAGGAAGGAUAUGCCCUGCAGGAGGGAAUUAUCAAAUACCAAGGGCGCAUCUGGAUUGGCACAGAUCCAGAAACUCAGAAAACAUUGAUCGCAGCUCUCCAUGACAGUGCAGCAGGAGGACACUCAGGGUUUCAUGCCACCUACAACCGGGUGCGCAGGUUAUUUGCAUGGAAAGGGCUCAAGGUUAUGGUCAAAGAAUUCGUGCAACAAUGCCAGACAUGUCAAAAGGCAAAAACAGAGAGGAUUCCCCCAGCUGGUCUGUUGCAGCCCUUGCCAAUACCAAAACGAGCAUGGGCAGUUAUCUCGCUCGACUUCAUCGAAGGAUUGCCUGCAUCAGGUGGUUAUAAUGUCAUCCUGGUGGUUGUGGAUAAGUUCUCUAAGUACGGCCACUUCCUGCCCAUGAAACACCCAUACACAACCCUGUCAGUGGCUAUGACCUUCAUGCACAAUAUCUUCAAGCUCCAUGGGAUGCCUCUGGCAAUCAUCUCAGAUCGUGACAGGGUGUUCACCAGCAACCUUUGGCAAGAGAUGUUCAAGAUAGCUCAAACACAACUCAGAAUGAGUUCAUCAUACCACCCUCAAACUGACGGCCAAACGGAGCGGGUGAAUCAAUGCCUCGAAACAUACCUACGAUGCUCAGUGCACGCUUGCCCCAAGAACUGGUACAAGUGGCUAUUCCUGGCUGAAUACUAG